AGGACGAACGCUGGCGGCGUGCCUAACACAUGCAAGUCGAACGCGCUCCAUUCGGUAGCAAUACUGAUGAAGAGCGAGUGGCGAACGGGUGAGUAGCACGUGAGCAAACCUGCCCCGAAGACUGGGACAACACCGGGAAACCGGUGCUAAUACCGGAUAUCCCUAUUGGAUCGCAUGAUCCGAUAAGGAAAUGUUUUUCGCUUCGGGAGGGGCUCGCGGCCUAUCGGCUAGUUGGUGGGGUAACGGCCCACCAAGGCAUCGACGGGUAGC
This 270-nucleotide ribosomal RNA is filed under the name uncultured bacterium. RNAcentral's name for it is "partial small subunit ribosomal RNA". It matches the Rfam family "Bacterial small subunit ribosomal RNA", at positions 26 to 287 of the family's 1533-position model. The record is from RNAcentral.